UGGUGGAGUGAUUUGUCUGGUUAAUUCCGAUAACGAACGAGACCUCAACUUAUUAAAUAGUGGUGCCGAUCUUCUAUACGGGUGAAUCUGGCUUAGGACCGGGCACGCUCGCAAGGGUGGCGCUCGGCCGGGUCAGUGGAUCCUUGAUGUUUCGGCGCUUUUCUUAACUUCUUAAAGGGACUAUCCAUGUUUAAUGGGUGGAAGUGAGGCAAUAACA
Molecule: ribosomal RNA, 217 nt
Filed under: uncultured eukaryote
Lineage: Eukaryota
Description: partial 18S ribosomal RNA
Rfam family: Eukaryotic small subunit ribosomal RNA
Source: RNAcentral